CACUGGUCUGCACCAUGGCCCAGGCCCUGGGAUUUUGAACAGCUCUGCAGGUGAAUGAAAGGUGUGGCCAGGCUGGGGAACCACCGCAUUAGAGGCUGACCUGGUUUCAGCCCCAGCCCUGUCACUGACUGGCUUUGUGAGUGUGGGCAAGUCACUCAGCCUCCCUAGGCCCCAGUGACUUCCCUGAAAGCAAGAAUGCCGCUUUCUUGCUGUUGUGAUGGUAUUAAAGGAAGUGGGCCUGGCUCUGCCCCUGACGCGGGAACAUGGAGCUGAUCCAGGACAUCUCUCGCUCGCCACUGGAGUACGUGAAGGGGGUUCUGCUCAUCAAGUACUUUGCAGAGGCACUGGGACCCCUGCAGAGCUUCUGGGCCCGGCCCGAUGACCUGCUCAUCAGCACCUACCCCAAGUCCGGGACUACCUGGGUGAGCCAGAUACUGGACAUGAUCUACCAAGGCGGCGACCUGGAGAAGUGUCACCGAGCUCCCAUCUUCAUGCGGGUGCCCUUCCUUGAGUUCAAAGCCCCAGGGAUUCUCUCAGGGCUGGAGACUCUGAAAGACACACCGGCCCCACGGCUCCUGAAGACACACCUGCCCCUGGCUCUGCUGCCCCAGACUCUGCUGGAUCAGAAGGUCAAGGUGGUCUUUGUUGCCUGAAACCCAAAGGAUGUGGCGGUCUCCUACUACCACUUCCAUCGCAUGGCCAAGGUGCGCCCUGACCCUGGGACCUGGGAGAGCUUCCUGGAGAAGUUCAUGGCCGGAGAAGUGUCCUACGGGUCUUGGUACCAGCACAUGCAGGAGUGGUGGGAGCUGAGCCACACCCACCCUGUUCUCUACCUCUUCUAUGAAGACAUGAAAGAGGUGAGACCACCCUCUGCUCCUCAGAACCCCAAAAGGGAGAUUCGGAAGAUCCUGGAGUUUGUGGGGCGCUCCCUGCCAGGAGGAGACCGUGGACCUCAUGGUUCAACACACGUCAUUCAGGGAGAUGAAGAAGAACCCUAUGACCAACUACACCACCGUCCCCCAGGAGUUCAUGGACCACAGUAUCUCCCCCUUCAUGAGGAAAGGCAUGGCUGGGGACUGGAAGACCACCUUCACCGUGGCGCAGAAUGAGCGCUUCGAUGUGGACUAUGCGGAGAAGAUGGCAGGCUGCAGCCUCAGCUUCCGCUCUGAGCUGUGAGAGGGGCUCCCGGGGUCACUGCAGAGGGAGUGUGCGAAUCAAGCCUGACCAAGCGGCUCAAGAAGCAAAUAUGAAUUGAGGGCCAGGGACAGUAGGUCAUAUCUGUAAUCCCAGCAAUUUGGGAGGUUGAGGUGGGAGGAUCAUUUGAACCCAGGAGUUCAAGACCAACCUGGGCAACAUAGUGAGAUUCUGUUGAAAAAAAAUAAUAAUAAUAACAAAAUAAAAUCAGUUUU
Molecule: RNA transcript, 1409 nt
Organism: Rhinopithecus roxellana (golden snub-nosed monkey)
Lineage: Eukaryota; Metazoa; Chordata; Mammalia; Primates; Cercopithecidae
Gene name: sulfotransferase 1A1-like
Exons: 7
Source: RefSeq, a predicted model, not a curated record